GUUAAAAUGGCAGAUUAGUGCGUUGGAUUUAAGCUUCAAAUAUGAAUAUUUUUGUUCUUUUAGCG
This 65-nucleotide transfer RNA is filed under the name Parborlasia corrugatus (corrugated ribbon worm). Its description in RNAcentral is "tRNA-Leu". The record is from RNAcentral. Lineage: Eukaryota; Metazoa; Nemertea; Pilidiophora; Heteronemertea; Lineidae.